UCCCUGAUAGCUCAGCUGGUAGAGCAAGUGGCUGUUAACCACUUGGUCGUGGGUUCGAAUCCUGCUCAGGGAG
RNAcentral lists this transfer RNA (73 nucleotides) under Anaplasmataceae bacterium. Its description in RNAcentral is "tRNA-Asn". It matches the Rfam family "tRNA". Rfam says of the family: Transfer RNA (tRNA) molecules are approximately 80 nucleotides in length. Their secondary structure includes four short double-helical elements and three loops (D, anti-codon, and T loops). The record is from RNAcentral. Lineage: Bacteria; Pseudomonadati; Pseudomonadota; Alphaproteobacteria; Rickettsiales; Anaplasmataceae.